Molecule: ribosomal RNA, 413 nt
Filed under: uncultured prokaryote
Description: bacterial SSU rRNA
Rfam family: Bacterial small subunit ribosomal RNA
Source: RNAcentral
GUGUCAGCCGCCGCGGUAAUACGAAUGGGGCAAGCGUUGUUCGGAUUUACUGGGCGUAAAGCGGGCGUAGGCGGCCGGCUAAGUCGGAUGUGAAAUCCCGGGGCUCAACUCCGGAACUGCAUUCGAUACUGGUCGGCUAGAGUUCGAGAGGGGGAUGCGGAAUUCCGCGUGUAGCAGUGAAAUGCGUAGAUAUGCGGAGGAACACCUGAGGCGAAGGCGGCAUCCUGGAUCGACACUGACGCUGAGGCCCGAAAGCGUGGGUAGCAAACAGGAUUAGAUACCCUGGUAGUCCACGCCCUAAACGGUGGGCACUAGGUGUGGGGCUCGAGAGGGUUCCGUGCCGAAGGGAAACCAAUAAGUGCCCCGCCUGGGGAGUACGGCCGCAAGGUUGAAACUCAAAGGAAUUGACGGGG